AGCCAACCAAUAGCCCAACCAUCACCCCAAAAACAAACUAACCAUAAACAAACCAUUUGCCAAGAGUAGUAUAUGAGAUAGAAC
This 84-nucleotide ribosomal RNA is filed under the name Oplurus saxicola. RNAcentral's name for it is "partial 16S large subunit ribosomal RNA". The record is from RNAcentral. Lineage: Eukaryota; Metazoa; Chordata; Lepidosauria; Squamata.